UUAAUUUCAUGUAGGUUCCUCAUUCCUUAAUCUGUGUAUUACAUUUCUCUACAAUUACAACAUAUUUUAUAUACUUUGCAACGUAAAGCUCCUGGAUGCAGUCAUCUGUGAAGCCGGCAGGGGGAGCAGAAGGAAAUGGGUCACACUCCUGACCCUCCCUGCACACCAGCACGUUCCCAAAAGCAGAGUUCCCUGGCUCUGCACCUUCUCUGGGGACAGCUUUAUUAUUGGUGAGUUUUGUGCUUAAUUAUUGAGAGUUUCUGUUUUAGGUGUGCUGGUCGAGGUGCAGCUAAUGAGUACAGUGCAGGAGUGCAAAUAAGCUUCCAAAACAUAGUAUCACCUGAGAGAUAACUGAGUCCAUCCCUGUAGUACCAUCUGAGUUCCAGCUUCCUGGAGAAAACCUCAGAAUCAUAAAAUUUUUCAUGUGUUCUGUGGUGUGGGUCUUCUGUGUCACUGCAUGUUCAGCUACAUCUGUGUGGUGCCACUUACUUACACUUAAUGAGAUGAGAUUCCUGCUGCUUGUGUCAGGUCAAUGGUGAUCUCUGAAGCUACUUCUGUUUUCUGCUUUAAUAUGUAAAGAGCAUGUCAGUCAUCCCCCACAUUCCUACAACAAUGAAAGCCUGGAAAAUUGA
Molecule: long non-coding RNA, 632 nt
Filed under: Pongo abelii (Sumatran orangutan)
Lineage: Eukaryota; Metazoa; Chordata; Mammalia; Primates; Hominidae
Description: lincRNA
Source: RNAcentral